RNAcentral lists this ribosomal RNA (343 nucleotides) under uncultured bacterium. Its description in RNAcentral is "bacterial SSU rRNA". It matches the Rfam family "Bacterial small subunit ribosomal RNA", at positions 8 to 354 of the family's 1533-position model. The record is from RNAcentral.
AGAGUUUGAUCAUGGCUCAGAUUGAACGCUAGCGGCACGCCUUACACAUGCAAGUCGAACGGCAGCACGGGGGCAACCCUGGUGGCGAGUGGCGAACGGGUGAGUAAUGCAUCGGAACGUGCCCAUCGGUGGGGGAUAACUGCGCGAAAGCGUUGCUAAUACCGCAUACGACCUACGGGUGAAAGCAGGGACCGCAAGGCCUUGCGUCGAUGGAGCGGCCGAUGCCGGAUUAGCUAGUUGGUGAGGUAAAGGCCCACCAAGGCAACGAUCCGUAGCUGGUCUGAGAGGACGAUCAGCUACACUGGGACUGAGACACGGCCCAGACUCCUACGGGACGCAGCAG